GUGCUAUACAUGCAAGUAGAACGCUGAAGAGAGGAGCUUGCUCUUCUUGGAUGAGUUGCGAACGGGUGAGUAACGCGUAGGUAACCUGCCUUGUAGCGGGGGAUAACUAUUGGAAACGAUAGCUAAUACCGCAUAACAAUGGAUGACACAUGUCAUUUAUUUGAAAGGGGCAAUUGCUCCACUACAAGAUGGACCUGCGUUGUAUUAGCUAGUAGGUGAGGUAAUGGCUCACCUAGGCGACGAUACAUAGCCGACCUGAGAGGGUGAUCGGCCACACUGGGACUGAGACACGGCCCAGACUCCUACGGGAGGCAGCAGUAGGGAAUCUUCGGCAAUGGGGGCAACCCUGACCGAGCAACGCCGCGUGAGUGAAGAAGGUUUUCGGAUCGUAAAGCUCUGUUGUAAGUCAAGAACGGGUGUGAGAGUGGAAAGUUCACACUGUGACGGUAGCUUACCAGAAAGGGACGGCUAACUACGUGCCAGCAGCCGCGGUAAUACGUAGGUCCCGAGCGUUGUCCGGAUUUAUUGGGCGUAAAGCGAGCGCAGGCGGUUUGAUAAGUCUGAAGUUAAAGGCUGUGGCUCAACCAUAGUUCGCUUUGGAAACUGUCAAACUUGAGUGCAGAAGGGGAGAGUGGAAUUCCAUGUGUAGCGGUGAAAUGCGUAGAUAUAUGGAGGAACACCGGUGGCGAAAGCGGCUCUCUGGUCUGUAACUGACGCUGAGGCUCGAAAGCGUGGGGAGCGAACAGGAUUAGAUACCCUGGUAGUCCACGCCGUAAACGAUGAGUGCUAGGUGUUGGAUCCUUUCCGGGAUUCAGUGCCGCAGCUAACGCAUUAAGCACUCCGCCUGGGGAGUACGACCGCAAGGUUGAAACUCAAAGGAAUUGACGGGGGCCCGCACAAGCGGUGGAGCAUGUGGUUUAAUUCGAAGCAACGCGAAGAACCUUACCAGGUCUUGACAUCCCGAUGCUAUUUCUAGAGAUAGAAAGUUACUUCGGUACAUCGGUGACAGGUGGUGCAUGGUUGUCGUCAGCUCGUGUCGUGAGAUGUUGGGUUAAGUCCCGCAACGAGCGCAACCCCUAUUGUUAGUUGCCAUCAUUCAGUUGGGCACUCUAGCGAGACUGCCGGUAAUAAACCGGAGGAAGGUGGGGAUGACGUCAAAUCAUCAUGCCCCUUAUGACCUGGGCUACACACGUGCUACAAUGGUUGGUACAACGAGUUGCGAGUCGGUGACGGCGAGCUAAUCUCUUAAAGCCAAUCUCAGUUCGGAUUGUAGGCUGCAACUCGCCUACAUGAAGUCGGAAUCGCUAGUAAUCGCGGAUCAGCACGCCGCGGUGAAUACGUUCCCGGGCCUUGUACACACCGCCCGUCACACCACGAGAGUUUGUAACACCCGAAGUCGGUGAGGUAACCUUUGGAGCCAGCCGCGUAAGUGACA
Molecule: ribosomal RNA, 1435 nt
Filed under: Streptococcus thermophilus
Lineage: Bacteria; Bacillati; Bacillota; Bacilli; Lactobacillales; Streptococcaceae
Description: bacterial SSU rRNA
Rfam family: Bacterial small subunit ribosomal RNA
Source: RNAcentral